UAUGUGAUCGUCUCUCGCAUAUCAAUAAGCGGAGGAAAAGAAACUAACAAGGAUUCCCCUAGUAACGGCGAGUGAAGCGGGAAGAGCUCAAAUUUGAAAUCUUAAAGGGUUUCCCUUUACGAAUUGUAGUUUAAAGAAGUGUUUUCUGUUGAGGUUUUGGUAAAAGUUCUUUGGAAUAGGACAUCAUAGAGGGUGAGAAUCCCGUAUUUGACCUUUACUUUCAACUUUGUGAUACACUUUCAAAGAGUCGGAUUGUUUGGGAAUGCAGUCCAAAAUGGGUGGUAAAUUUCAUCUAAAGCUAAAUAUUGGCGAGAGACCGAUAGCGAACAAGUACCGUGAGGGAAAGAUGAAAAGAACUUUGAAAAGAGAGUUAAACAGUACGUGAAAUUGUCAAAAGGGAAGCGUUUGACACCAGUGUUGUUUUUCUGAAAAUCAAUUAAAGAACUGUUUAUGCUAAGCUGUUUAGACUUUAUCAGCUAACUGUUUAGUUUUGAGCUUUUCUUUAAUGCACUUUUCAGUUAACAAGUCAACAUCAAUUUCUUUUGCUGUAAAAAAGCUUGAGGAAGGUGGCUUGAGAUUCGUCUUAAGUGUUUAUAGCCUCUUGCCUAUGCAGUCGGAGAGAUUGAGGUCUGCAGCGUAGAUCCUUCGGGGCUAAAUGCAUUUGUGCUAAGUUAUAGCAUUUUAUAGACAACUUGUUGACUAUGAUUUGUCUUGUAGCUUACUCGCUUAUGUUAUUUUACCUACGCUUAGGAUGUUGAUAUGCAUGACUGAUAU
Molecule: ribosomal RNA, 774 nt
Filed under: uncultured Neocallimastigales
Lineage: Eukaryota; Fungi; Neocallimastigomycota; Neocallimastigomycetes; Neocallimastigales
Description: partial large subunit ribosomal RNA
Rfam family: Eukaryotic large subunit ribosomal RNA
Source: RNAcentral